RNAcentral lists this ribosomal RNA (253 nucleotides) under uncultured prokaryote. RNAcentral's name for it is "partial 16S ribosomal RNA". It matches the Rfam family "Bacterial small subunit ribosomal RNA", at positions 524 to 776 of the family's 1533-position model. The record is from RNAcentral.
UACAGAGGGUGCAAGCGUUAAUCGGAUUUACUGGGCGUAAAGCGUGAGUAGGUGGCUCGCUAAGUCGAUUGUGAAAGCCCUGGGCUCAACCUGGGAAUUGCAGUCGAUACUGGAGAGCUAGAGUUCGGUAGAGGGUGACGGAAUUCCCGGUGUAGCGGUGAAAUGCGUUGAUAUCCGAAGGAACGCCGGUGACGAAAGCGACGGGCUGGAUCUCUUCUGACGCUGAGGCGCGAAAGCUAGGGUAGCGAACGGG